UCUAUUAAGUUGGUAAUGACUUGAAGACACAUAGCACACAAACAAAACAUACAAGGCCAGGCAGGGUUCAGAGACCUGGAGGGACAGAUUCUGGCAGCUCCUUUGUAUCAUUCAAACUGAAUCCUAUCAAUCCUGGGGCCCUUUCACACCACACGAUUAUAACAUUUUUAUUCCACUUUAACUGUCAUGUUCUAUGUAAUCCUGGGGGUUUGUAGUUUGUUGAGGGAGCAGAGCUCUCUGGAAGAUAAUUCCGAAUAUCUCACUAAACUACAGAUCCAGGAAUCCAUGGAGCCACAGCAGUUGUCAAAGUACUAUAGCAGGUAUCAAAAGUGAAUUUGGGGAAAAGUCCCAGUAUAGAUUGUAAUAAAGUUUUCUAAAUCAGUAUCUUUUGUGAUGCAAGGACCUCCCUCACUUUGUUUAAUCAGAGGGGGUGAAUUUAUAUCUGCAGUACUUUUAAUAUUCCCUCCUCUCUUCUCCACCCAUUCCUGGUCCAUGUCCAAUAAACUGGAUGAGUGUGUACUUUAUUUUCUAAACUGGAGACAGACACAAAGCCAGCUGAAAUCCCAGGAUCAAGACCAGCUGUCCAUCUAGACUCCUUUCUCUGCCAGUGUGCAAAGCCAGAAGGACAGAUGGAGCGCCUUCCACUAAAGUCCGUUAAAGGGGUUCCUAUGCUAAAGUAUUUUGCUGACAUCAUGGAGGAGGUGGAUAAAUUUCAAGCACAUCCAGAUGACUUGCUGAUCUCCACGUACCCCAAAUCUGGAACUACAUGGAUCUGCGAGGUUGUAGACAUGAUCUAUAAAGAAGGCAACGUGGAGGCUUGCAGAGAGAAACCCAUCUACUUGCGAGUCCCUUUCUUGGAGCGCUCUUUUCCUGGAUCAGAUGCAGGCUUUAAGCUGCUACAAAAAACACCCCGCCCAUGUGUAAUUAAAACCCAUCUUCCUGUCCAACUGCUCCCCAAAUCGUUCUGGGAAAAGAAUUGCAAGAUGAUCUACCUGGCCAGAAAUGCCAAAGAUGUGGCUGUCUCCUAUUACUUCUUCUAUCAAAUGGCAAAAGUUCAUCCUGAACCUGGAACCUGGAAUGAAUUUUUGGAAAAAUUUAUGGCUGGAGACGUUCUCUCCUCAGUUGCAUUUGGAUCCUGGUAUGACCAUGUCAAAGACUGGUGGGACAAGAGAGAAGAACAAAGGAUGCUCUACCUCUUCUAUGAAGAUAUGAAAGAGGAUCCACAGCAGGAGAUCCAGAAAGUAAUGGAAUUCUUAGAGAGGCCCAUUGAUGAACAGCUGGUGGAAAAAAUUACACACUACACCUCCUUUAAAGAGAUGCGUCAGAACCACAUGACGAAUUACACAUGCCUUCCCUCAACAUUUAUGGAUCAUUCCAUCUCUCCAUUCAUGAGGAAGGUUUGCCUUGACUACCAAUUCUUCCCCUCAACCCAGGAGUCGCUGGUGACUGGAAGAACCAUUUCACAGUGGCCCAAAAUGAAUUCUUUGAUGCUGAUUAUAAGAGACAAAUGGUAGGAUCAACCCUGCAGUUCUGGAUGGAGAUGUAAUUCCUUUUGUCUUGCUGCUUAGGAAGGAACAAAGAAUGCAGAGGAAGAUUAUUAGAUUUCAUCCACUGAGGAUUAAAAAAAAACUGGUCUGAACAUGCAACAGACUCAUUUUUGCUGCUAGUUGUUUGUUACAAAUUUGUAAAACUUUUGUUGCAUCCAAUAAAGUAUUUAAUUUUCGAUUAUAAGCUA
Molecule: RNA transcript, 1735 nt
Organism: Sceloporus undulatus (fence lizard)
Lineage: Eukaryota; Metazoa; Chordata; Lepidosauria; Squamata; Phrynosomatidae
Gene name: sulfotransferase 1A1-like
Exons: 9
Source: RefSeq, a predicted model, not a curated record